Rattus norvegicus (Norway rat) is the source of this 69-nucleotide non-coding RNA. The record is from Rfam. NCBI's taxonomy places the organism in Eukaryota, Metazoa, Chordata, Mammalia, Rodentia, Muridae.
GGGGAUUUAGCUCAGUGGUAGAGCGCUUGCCUUGCAAGCACAAAGCCCUGGGUUCGGUCCUCAGCUCCG